Molecule: ribosomal RNA, 329 nt
Filed under: uncultured bacterium
Lineage: Bacteria
Description: bacterial SSU rRNA
Rfam family: Bacterial small subunit ribosomal RNA
Source: RNAcentral
GACGAACGCUGGCGGCGUGCUUAACACAUGCAAGUCGAGCGGGGUCCGAUCCAGUAGCAAUACUGGUGAAGACCUAGCGGCGAACGGGUGAGUAACACGUGAGCAACCUGCCCCGAAGUCUGGGAUAACACCGGGAAACCGGUGCUAAUACCGGAUGUCCUCACCGAGUCACCUGGCUUGAUGAGGAAAGAUUUAUCGCUUCGGGAGGGCUCGCGGCCUAUCAGCUUGUUGGCGGGUAACGGCCCACCAAGGCUUCGACGGGUAGCUGGUCUGAGAGGACGACCAGCCACACUGGGACUGAGACACGGCCCAGACUCCUACGGGAGGCA